RNAcentral lists this ribosomal RNA (171 nucleotides) under Triticum aestivum (bread wheat). RNAcentral's name for it is "partial small subunit ribosomal RNA". Lineage: Eukaryota; Viridiplantae; Streptophyta; Magnoliopsida; Poales; Poaceae. The record is from RNAcentral.
AUGAAUAUCAUGAGUUGGAACUGCCGAGGGGCGGGGAACUCCCGGACAGUUCGAGAUCUUGCGAGCUUGGUCCAAGCUCAAUCCCCUUGUAUCGUUUUCCUUUGUGAGACUAGGCAGUCGAAAAUUAGGAUGAAGAAAUAUCGCUCCCGUUUAGGUUUAUGCAGUCGAUAG